CCUACGGGCGGCAGCAGUGGGGAAUAUUGGACAAUGGGCGAAAGCCUGAUCCAGCCAUGCCGCGUGUGUGAAGAAGGCCUUCGGGUUGUAAAGCACUUUCAGUGGGGAAGAAAGCCUUGGGGCUAAUACCCUCGAGGAAGGACAUCACCCACAGAAGAAGCACCGGCUAACUCCGUGCCAGCAGCCGCGGUAAUACGGAGGGUGCGAGCGUUAAUCGGAAUUACUGGGCGUAAAGCGCGCGUAGGCGGUCUGAUAAGCCGGUUGUGAAAGCCCCGGGCUCAACCUGGGAACGGCAUCCGGAACUGUCAGGCUAGAGUGCAGGAGAGGAAGGUAGAAUUCCCGGUGUAGCGGUGAAAUGCGUAGAGAUCGGGAGGAAUACCAGUGGCGAAGGCGGCCUUCUGGACUGACACUGACGCUGGGGUGCGAAAGCGUGGGUAGCAAACAGGAUUAGAUACCCCGGUAGUC
RNAcentral lists this ribosomal RNA (465 nucleotides) under Vreelandella stevensii. RNAcentral describes it as "partial 16S ribosomal RNA". It matches the Rfam family "Bacterial small subunit ribosomal RNA", at positions 338 to 795 of the family's 1533-position model. The record is from RNAcentral. Lineage: Bacteria; Pseudomonadati; Pseudomonadota; Gammaproteobacteria; Oceanospirillales; Halomonadaceae.